Molecule: ribosomal RNA, 513 nt
Filed under: Pseudagrion australasiae
Lineage: Eukaryota; Metazoa; Arthropoda; Insecta; Odonata; Coenagrionidae
Description: partial large subunit ribosomal RNA
Rfam family: Bacterial large subunit ribosomal RNA
Source: RNAcentral
UAUUUGAGGUUUGGCCUGCCCGGUGAUAUUUAUUUAACGGCCGCGGUAUAUUGACCGUGCAAAGGUAGCAUAAUCAUUAGUCUCUUAAUAGGGGGCUGGAAUGAAAGGUUUAACGAAAAAUUAACUGUUUCAAUUAUAGUUUUGAAUUUAACUUUUAAGUUAAAAGGCUUAAAUUUUGUUGGAGGACGAGAAGACCCUAUAGAGCUUUACACUUUAUUUUGGAUGAUUUUAUUUAGUUAGAUAAUUUAAUUUUAUUUAAAUGCGUGUUUUGUUGGGGUGACAAGAAAUAUAUAAUUAACUUUUAUUAUUUUUUAUUCAUUAAUUUAUGUUUAUUGGAUCCAAAAUUUUUGAUCAUUAGAUUAAGUUACCUUAGGGAUAACAGCGUAAUCUUCCUUCGGAGUUCAAAUUUACAGGGAGGCUUGCGACCUCGAUGUUGGAUUACGAUAAUAAUUAGGUGCAGUAGCUUAAUUAAUAGGUCUGUUCGACCUUUAAAUCUACAGAUCGUAAAACCCC